CUACAAACCCUGCAGAUGUGUGGAUCUGCAUAUCAUUUACCAAAGAUUCCUGCAUGAACAUCUGCGUUUUGCAAUAAUUUUCCAGUUAUCUUGAGCUCUCAGAAGGAUUGCCAGAAGGGACACUCAGAUGAAGGCACCAUCUACUGUCGCAGGGGCUUUUGAGAUGUCCUGAGCUUUCUUUGUGAAGGAGACAGUGCACCAACAUGGGUACAAAGUUCCCCCCACACAAAGCACUAGACCUGGACCUGCUUCUUUUUCCUACUGUGCACCUUUCCUGAGCCUCCUCUCAGGACUCCUGGAAAACA
This is a long non-coding RNA of Choloepus didactylus (southern two-toed sloth), 305 nucleotides long. RefSeq lists it as uncharacterized. The record is from RefSeq and is a predicted model, not a curated record. Lineage: Eukaryota; Metazoa; Chordata; Mammalia; Pilosa; Megalonychidae. The transcript has 3 exons.